UUCUGCCCCACUCUGUGUGACUUCCUCCCUAUGCAGACGAAACAACUGGAUCAAUUGCACAAACUGUAGUAUGAACAUUAUGUGCUUAUGAACUUUUCCAAGGGAGCCUGGAGGGGCUUGAUAUCUGGAAUUUUGAAUCUUCAGCUACUGAUACGCCUCUGCCUGAAGGCCUCCAUGUAGCUUGUCUGCAUUAGCGAUACUGUGCAGGUUCUACAGGUAUUGUUAUAUACAGUGCAGCUGGAAAUAUCAGUAGAGCCUUUGGAUGGCAAGAAAGAAACAGCUCAAUGCUAAUCAUUGUGACAAAGGCAAAAUGACUGGGGUCUGUCCCCAUAAUAAUGACUAGCAGUAAGGUUGGCGGGGACUGAGUGUGUCGCAACAGUUACUCUACUUCUGAACAGUACUGCAGCUCCUGGUGAUUGAUUGAUUAAAUAAUGCCUUUGGAAGGGUUCCAGAGGGAAGCAUGUCUGUUACGUGCCUGGAUGCUCUGCAAGGAUGAGGCCCACACACACAGGAGAAAAAAUUCUGUCAGAACAUUGCAGUUCCAUUGAGAAGAAUCAGUGAAACCCAGAUAUUUCCUGAACUGUGGACUCUGAGUCACUGCCUUGAAAUGACUUGGGGAAGAUUGUCAACUCAGAGAAGGCAGAAGGGGAAAGAAUAAAGGUGCUUCUAGUGCCUGGUGGAGAUUGGGGAGAAGAUUGAUCGAAAAAGGAUCAAGGAGAAGAUCAAAUAGGUCUGGAGAAGGCCCAGAGGGAACUGGAGAAUUUGGGAUGUCAGUUUAGCCUGCUUUCAUUCCUUUUCCUUUCUUGCAGACAAGGAAAAAUAACUUCCAAUGAAUUUAGACUACUUCCUAGUAAAGAAAAGUGUUCUCAUUUAGCAUGUGGACCAUAAAUGUACCAAAAUCUUUCAAGCUGCUCCUGUUGUGAAAUAAAUUUUGCAAAUCUAAUGGAGCAUUUUGAAAAUAUUAAAUUGCCUCUUAUUGAAGACAUUCAA
Molecule: long non-coding RNA, 990 nt
Organism: Gopherus evgoodei (Goodes thornscrub tortoise)
Lineage: Eukaryota; Metazoa; Chordata; Testudines; Testudinidae
Exons: 3
Source: RefSeq, a predicted model, not a curated record